This 552-nucleotide ribosomal RNA is filed under the name uncultured bacterium. RNAcentral's name for it is "partial 16S ribosomal RNA". It matches the Rfam family "Bacterial small subunit ribosomal RNA", at positions 355 to 897 of the family's 1533-position model. The record is from RNAcentral.
UAGGGAAUCUUCCACAAUGGACGCAAGUCUGAUGGAGCAACGCCGCGUGAGUGAAGAAGGUUUUCGGACCGUAAAGCUCUGUUGUUGGUGAAGAAGGAUAGAGGUAGUAACUGGCCUUUAUUUGACGGUAAUCAACCAGAAAGUCACGGCUAACUACGUGCCAGCAGCCGCGGUAAUACGUAGGUGGCAAGCGUUGUCCGGAUUUAUUGGGCGUAAAGCGAGCGCAGGCGGAAGAAUAAGUCUGAUGUGAAAGCCCUCGGCUUAACCGAGGAAUUGCAUCGGAAACUGUUUUUCUUGAGUGCAGAAGAGGAGAGUAGAACUCCAUGUGUAGCGGUGGAAUGCGUAGAUAUAUGGAAGAAUGCCAGUGGCGAAGGCGGCUCUCUGGUCUGCAACUGACGCUGAGGCUCGAAAGCAUGGGUAGCGAACAGGAUUAGAUACCCUGGUAGUCCAUGCCGUAAACGAUGAGUGCUAAGUGUUGGGAGGCUUCCGCCUCUCAGUGCUGCAGCUAACGCAUUAAGCACUCCGCCUGGGGGAGUACGACCGCAAGGUUGA